CUUGGUCAUUUAGAGGAAGUAAAAGUCGUAACAAGGUUUCCGUAGGUGAACCUGCGGAAGGAUCAUUAAAGAGACGUUGCCCUUCGGGGUAUACCUCCCACCCAUUGUUUAUUAUACCUUUGUUGCUUUGGCAGACCCGGCUUCGGCCCACCGGCUCCGGCUGGUCAGUGUCUGCCAGAGGACCUAAAACUCUGUUUGUUAAUAUUGUCUGAGUACUAUAUAAUAGUUAAAACUUUCAACAACGGAUCUCUUGGUUCUGGCAUCGAUGAAGAACGCAGCGAAAUGCGAUAAGUAAUGUGAAUUGCAGAAUUCAGUGAAUCAUCGAAUCUUUGAACGCACAUUGCGCCCUCUGGUAUUCCGGGGGGCAUGCCUGUUCGAGCGUCAUUACAACCCUCAAGCUUUGCUUGGUAUUGGACAUUGCCAGUUUCUGGCAGGUCUUAAAAUCAGUGGCGGUGCCAUUUGGCUUCAAGCGUAGUAAUUCUUCUCGCUUUGGAGAUCCAGGUGGUUACUUGCCAAUAACCCCCGAUUUUUUCAGGUUGACCUCGGAUCAGGUAGGGAUACCCGCUGAACUUAAGCAUAUCAAUAAGCGGAGGA
This 594-nucleotide ribosomal RNA is filed under the name uncultured Thelebolaceae. RNAcentral describes it as "eukaryotic LSU rRNA". The stretch from base 231 to 384 matches the Rfam family "5.8S ribosomal RNA". The record is from RNAcentral. Lineage: Eukaryota; Fungi; Ascomycota; Leotiomycetes; Thelebolales; Thelebolaceae.